GGUUGAUCCUGCCAGUAGUCAUAUGCUUGUGUUAAAGAUUAAGCCAUGCAUGUCUUAGUAUAGGUAGAAAAACCGAAACUGCGGAUGGCUCAUUAAAUCAGUCAUAAUCAAUUUGGUGAUGAAAAUUAAAAGGAUAACCCUGUUAAUUGUAGAGCAAAUACUUGAACUUGAUAUCUGAUCAGCGAGUGGGAUUUUUGGAAGCAAUUUCAAGGAACUCAUUCAAGAGAGGAUAGCAUUUGUCAGCUCGAAAUAGUUAACCAAAUCUCCAUUGAAAACCUUGAGUACCCUGAGG
This 292-nucleotide ribosomal RNA is filed under the name uncultured eukaryote. Its description in RNAcentral is "partial 18S ribosomal RNA". It matches the Rfam family "Eukaryotic small subunit ribosomal RNA", at positions 6 to 276 of the family's 1831-position model. The record is from RNAcentral.